Molecule: long non-coding RNA, 152 nt
Organism: Ipomoea nil (Japanese morning glory)
Lineage: Eukaryota; Viridiplantae; Streptophyta; Magnoliopsida; Solanales; Convolvulaceae
Exons: 3
Source: RefSeq, a predicted model, not a curated record
GAUUUUGAGACUGCUAUUCAGCACUAUUCAAAAGCUAUGAAACUUGAUGAUGGGGAUAUUUCAUUCCUUACUAAUAUGGCUGUUGUGUACUUGGGGAUGGGAAAGGUAUACACUUUAAUUUCUAAUUUAUGGUGUUUUUAAAAAGAAUUUUU